RNAcentral lists this ribosomal RNA (469 nucleotides) under uncultured bacterium. RNAcentral describes it as "bacterial SSU rRNA". It matches the Rfam family "Bacterial small subunit ribosomal RNA", at positions 30 to 492 of the family's 1533-position model. The record is from RNAcentral.
UUGAACGCUGGCGGCAUGCCUUACACAUGCAAGUCGAACGGCAGCGCGGGGCAACCUGGCGGCGAGUGGCGAACGGGUGAGUAAUAUAUCGGAACGUACCCUGGAGUGGGGGAUAACGUAGCGAAAGUUACGCUAAUACCGCAUACGAUCUAAGGAUGAAAGUGGGGGAUUCGCAAGAACCUCAUGCUCCUGGAGCGGCCGAUAUCUGAUUAGCUAGUUGGUGGGGUAAAGGCCUACCAAGGCAUCGAUCAGUAGCUGGUCUGAGAGGACGACCAGCCACACUGGAACUGAGACACGGUCCAGACUCCUACGGGAGGCAGCAGUGGGGAAUUUUGGACAAUGGGCGAAAGCCUGAUCCAGCAAUGCCGCGUGAGUGAAGAAGGCCUUCGGGUUGUAAAGCUCUUUUGUUCAGGGAAGAAACGGUGAGAGCUAAUAUCUUUUGCUAAUGACGGUACCUGAAGAAUAAGCA